CCUACGGGUGGCUGCAGUGAGGAAUAUUGGUCAAUGGCCGAGAGGCUGAACCAGCCAAGUCGCGUGAGGGAUGACGGCCCUACGGGUUGUAAACCUCUUUUGUCGGGGAGUAAAGAGAGUCACGUGUGACUCAUUGAGAGUACCCGAUGAAAAAGCAUCGGCUAACUCCGUGCCAGCAGCCGCGGUAAUACGUAGGGUGCAAGCGUUAUCCGGAUUUACUGGGUGUAAAGGGGGCGUAGGCGGCGGUGUAAGUCCGGAGUGAAAGCCCAUGGCUUAACCAUGGAACUGCAGUGGAAACUGGGGAGCUUGAGUGCAGCAGGGGCAGGCGGAAUUCGUGGUGUAGCGGUGAAAUGCGUAGAUAUUAGGAGGAACACCGGCGGCGAAGGCGGCCUGCUGGACCGUAACUGACGUUGAGGCUCGAAAGCGUGGGGAGCAAACAGGAUUAGAUACCCUUGUAGUC
This 460-nucleotide ribosomal RNA is filed under the name uncultured bacterium. Its description in RNAcentral is "partial 16S ribosomal RNA". It matches the Rfam family "Bacterial small subunit ribosomal RNA", at positions 338 to 795 of the family's 1533-position model. The record is from RNAcentral.